UACCUGCAGCUCGAGUGGUGGCCGCUAUUAUUGGGCCUAAAACGUCCGUAGCCGGUUUAAUAAAUGCCUGGGUAAAUCGUGUAGCUUAACUAUACGAAUUCCGGGUAGACUGUUAGACUUGAGACCGGGAGAAGCUAGAGGUACUCCUGGGGUAGAGGUGAAAUUCUGUAAUCCUAGGGGGACCACCAGUGGCGAAGGCGUCUAGCUAGAACGGGUCUGACGGUGAGGGACGAAGCCCUGGGGCGCAAACCGGAUUAGAUACCCGGGUAGUCCAGGGUGUAAACGCUGCUUGCUUGAUGUUAGUUGGGCUCUGAGCCCAAUUAGUGUCGGAGAGAAGUUGUUAAGCAAGCUGCCUGGGAAGUACGGUCGCAAGACUGAAAACUUAAAGGAAUUGGCGGGGAGCACAGCAACGGGUGGAGCGUGCGGUUU
RNAcentral lists this ribosomal RNA (429 nucleotides) under uncultured archaeon. RNAcentral describes it as "bacterial SSU rRNA". It matches the Rfam family "Archaeal small subunit ribosomal RNA", at positions 474 to 903 of the family's 1478-position model. The record is from RNAcentral.